GAAAGAGGAAUUGUGCUGCAGCCUACUUUAGGGAUCCUGCAUUAGCAGGGUUGUUGGACUAGAUGGUCCAGAGGUCCUUUCCAAGCCCUGUGAUUCUGUGGUUAUCUUUAAUUUGAGGACAAGAAGCCAGAAUUCCUCUGUCAACGAACAGCCCAAAAUGUCAAAUGUUGGUGGUAUAGCUGCAGAGGUGGAACAAUCCCAUCAAGAUUCCAUCACACUUUGUUGCUGUGCAACAAAUGGCAGCAGAAGGCCAGUAUGACAAAAUGGCAGUUGAUAUGGAAGUAUGUAUGAAGCAACGGUGUGCUACUGAAAUACUCCAUGUGGAAAAAAUGGCAUCCACUGACAUUCAUCAAUGCUUGCUGAACGUUUCUAAAGACAAAACAGAUGCAAAGAGCCUUCUGCUUUGCUGAAGGAAAGACAGCAAGAAUGAUCCCCACCUCAGAACAUCGCAAACACAGCAGCUGUGGCUCAUUCUGGUCCAGAGCAAAAAGCAAACCCUUAGCACCCUGGCAGUUCAAGGUGCCUCUUUCACCUCCCGGAUAGAUGCCCUAAUCACAGCCUACCUCAAUUAUCAUGGAGUCGUUCCAGUCUCUCUAUAAGCAAUUUCAUUUUCAUCAGGACAAUGACAUGAACCACAAGCUGCCACCAAAAGUAACUUUCCUAGCCACAGUACCCCCAAGUUAUAUUUUAUUCAGAAUGCAGAAUUGUUUAUAGAAAUUUAAACAGCUCCAAUAAAAAUGACUGCAAGAACAAGACUGACUCUGUAGCCUCUAGACAGC
Molecule: long non-coding RNA, 779 nt
Filed under: Gallus gallus (chicken)
Lineage: Eukaryota; Metazoa; Chordata; Aves; Galliformes; Phasianidae
Source: RNAcentral